This is a long non-coding RNA of Mobula hypostoma (lesser devil ray), 2267 nucleotides long. RefSeq lists it as uncharacterized. The transcript is spliced from 3 exons. NCBI's taxonomy places the organism in Eukaryota, Metazoa, Chordata, Chondrichthyes, Myliobatiformes, Myliobatidae. The record is from RefSeq and is a predicted model, not a curated record.
AGACACCAAUCCUCUGCUGUGAGUGGAGUCCAGACAGUGACAUCUGGAAGGAAGAGACAUUUGCACGAAGAAUAAUAAUGAAAAUAUUUUGGUCUCUGCCCAAACCGUUACUUGAAGCAAUGUGAGACUUGGCACGGGGCAGCAGCUGUGCCAUCUUCAUUUCCCUGAUAAUUAUUUCUAUCCAAGCCUCAGAAGAGUGCUCCUUGCAUUCAAUGGUUAUUGCACAGACCUUCAUAAAACCCUGAGUUGACGGACUGUUUCCAGGGACCUGAGAUUUUGCUGCAAUUUUAAGGAUUAAUUUUCUCAGAAUUCAAAAAUCUCAUGUGGGUUUGGUUUCUCAGUACAAGAUCAGUAUGACAGGGACAAAGGGGACAGUGAUUACCUUCCAACAAGACUCGAAUGAAACCAGGAUAUGGGCCCUGGGGAAAGGAAUCAACCACCAAAUGACUUUUCCUAUUCUUCCAGUUCCUGAAGUUAAAUAUAACUAAUGAUUAGUUUCACAGCCACGAUGAAGUGCAUCUUUUCAUUCAUUGCCAACUUUCUACUUCAGUUUUAUGCCACACACUCACUGACCACUAGAUUAGGUACAUUUGUACUCUUGCUCAUUAAUGCAAUAUCUAAUCAGCCAAUCAUGUGGCAGCAACUCAACUCAUAAAGGCAUGCAGACAUCGUCAAAAGGUUCAAUUCUUCUUCAGUCCAAGCAUCAAAUUGGGGACAAAAUGUAAUCUCAGUGACUUUGCAGAAUGAUUGUUGGUGCCAUAAGGGGUGGUUUGAGUAUCUCUGAAACUGCUGAUCUUUUGGGAUUUUCACUCACAGCAGUCUCUAGAGUUUUCAGAGAAUGAUGUGAUAAACAAAAAAAAAAUCUAGUGAGUGGCUGUUCUGUGGGAAAAAAAAUAUCAUUAAUGGAAAAGUUUGAGGAGAAUGGCCAAAUUGGUUCAUGCUGACAGGAAGGCAACAGUAACUUAGAUAACCUUGCAUUACAACAGUGCUGUGCAGAACACAUUGAACCUUGAAGUGGAUGGCUACAACAGCAGAGGACCACGAACAUACUUAUAUCACUUCCAAGACAAACACCAUUCUGACUUGGAUCUAUAUUAUUGUUUCUUUAUCAAAGUCCCAGAACUUCCUACCACAAAAACAUUUUUGGACUUCCAUCACUACAAGUUCUUCAGCUGCAGAAGAAAGAGACCCACUGUCCACCGAGUGAGAAGGACAAGGAACACCUCCAAAAUCGCAAGACAGUGGUAAAGAGAUUAGAAGGUUAUGGUCUCAGAACAUAAUGCAGCAAGUUGGAAUUCUUCACAGCAAGCAUCACUUACUGUAGUCACACUAUUGAUGCACCAGAAUUACACAAGUGUGCUGAAAAAUUCAAGCCGUGCUGGAUGUCCCAAGAACAAAGGACUUGUCACAGUUGUGGUCCUUUUUAAGGAUUUGUCAAUUACUAUAACAGGUCACUGUUUACUGUGCUCCACCCCCUUGAACUCAUUACUACAGAUUGGGAAGAAAUGGCAAUGGACAAAGCAGUGUGAGGUGGCUUUCCAAAAGAAAAAGGAAAUGGUGACAUCACACACUGUACUCACACAUUAUGAUCCAUGUUAUCCAGUGAGGCAUGCCUGUGACUCCUCACCUUAUGGUAUAUGUGCAGUCAUGUCACAUGUUAUGAGUGAUGGACGUGAAUAUCUCAUGGCUUUUGCAUCACAUUCCCUUUCUGUUCUAGAGAAAAAUUAUGCACAGAUUGACAGAGAGGACUUGAGUCUCGUUUGGGGUGUAAAACAUUUUGACCAGUACUUGUGUGGGAGAGUAUUUACCCUCAGUACUGAUCAUCAACCACCAGUGUCCAUUUUCAAUCCACAGAAGAGCGUUCCACUAAGACCAGCAGCACAAAUGCAGAGAUGGACUCUGUUUCUUGGAGGACACAAUGUGAAAAUCAAAUUCAAGAGGACAUCUAAUCAUAGAAAUACUGAUGGAUUGUCCCGUUUACUCUUGGAAAAGAAAAUACCUGAAACAUCUACAAAAACGUGGAAACCUCUUGACGUAUUCUCCCUAAUGCAAAUUGAAAAUCUCCCUGUAACAGCAGAAAUUGUCCAAAAGGAAACUAGAAAACAUAUCCCACACCAUCUCAGGUCUACAUUGCAAUGCUGGAAUGUGCACCAGAAAUGACAGUUUCCCCCUUUUUUACCAACACCAGGAUGAACUUGCCCUUGACAGGGGUUGCCUUAUGUGGGGCUUGAAAGUUGUAACAUCCAAGCUGUAUUUGAGAAACUACA